Molecule: ribosomal RNA, 225 nt
Filed under: uncultured bacterium
Lineage: Bacteria
Description: partial 16S ribosomal RNA
Rfam family: Bacterial small subunit ribosomal RNA
Source: RNAcentral
UACGUAGAAGACUAGUGUUAUUCAUCUUUAGUAGGUUUAAAGGGUACCUAGACGGUAAAAUUAGUCCAAAACAGGAUACGGUUUUACUAGAGUUAUAUAUGAGGAGGUGAGUAUUUAUGGAGUAGAGUUGAAAUUCUUUGAUACCUUUAACGACUGGUAACGGCGAAAAGCAACCUUUUAUCUAAUAACUGACGUUGAGGGACGAAGGCUUGGGUAACGAACAGG